RNAcentral lists this non-coding RNA (24 nucleotides) under Arabidopsis thaliana (thale cress). The record is from RNAcentral. Lineage: Eukaryota; Viridiplantae; Streptophyta; Magnoliopsida; Brassicales; Brassicaceae.
CGGAAAGACCACACGACUACUGCA